This 1040-nucleotide long non-coding RNA is filed under the name Calidris pygmaea (Spoon-billed sandpiper). RNAcentral describes it as "lncRNA (ENSCPGG00000015765.1)". Lineage: Eukaryota; Metazoa; Chordata; Aves; Charadriiformes; Scolopacidae. The record is from RNAcentral.
GCACCCUCAGCAAGUUUGCUGAUGACACCAAGCUCGGUGGCGCAGUUAACACGCUGGAGGGAAGGGAUGCCAUCCAGAGGGACCUGGACAGGCUGGAGAGGUGGGCUCAUGCAAAUUGCAUGAGGUUCAACCAAGCCGAGUGCAGGGUCCUGCACCUGGGACGUGGCAACCCCAGGCACAAAUACAGGUUGGGUGGAGAAUGGCUGGAGAGCAGCCCUGAGGAGAAGGACUUGGGAGUGCUUAUGGACGAGAAGCUCAACAUGAGCUGGCAGUGCAUGCUGGCAGCCCAGAGAGCCAACCGUGUCCUGGGCUGCAUCAGGAGAAGUGUGGCCAGCAGGUCUCGGGAGGUGAUUCUGCCCCUCUACUCUGCUCUUGUGAGACCCCACCUGGAAUACUGUGUCCAGCUUUGGAGUCCUCAACACAGAAAGGACAUGGACCGGCUGGAACAGGUGCAGCGGAGGGCCACGAAGAUGAUCAGAGGGAUGGAGCACCUCUCCUAUGAAGACAGGCUGAGGGAGCUGGGAUUGUUCAGCCUGGAGAAGAGAAGGCUCUGGGGAGACCUUAUAGCGGCCUUUCAAUACCUGAAGGGUGCCUAUAGAAGAGCUGGAGAAAGACUCUUUGCCAGGAAGUGUAAUGAUAGGACAAGGGGAAAUGGUUUUAAAUUGGAAGAAAAAAGAUUCAGAUUAGAUAUCAGGAAGAAAUUUUUUACUAUGAGGGUGGUGAGACACUGGAACAGGUUGCCCAGGGAGGUUGUGGAUGCCCCAUCCCUGGAAGUGUUCAAGGCCAGGCUGGAUGGGGCCUUGAGCAACCUGCUCUAGUGGGAGGUGUCUCCGCCCAUGGCAGGGGGGUUGGGAACUCGAUGAUCUUUGAGGUCCCUUCCAACCCUAACCAUUAUAUGAUUCAAUGAUCACUCCAGUGAACUUUGGACAUUGAGCUACUGACCACUACUCUGGAUGUGACCAUUCAACCAAUUCCUUACCCACUGAACAGUCCACCCAUCAAAUCCAUACCUCUCCAAUUUAGAGAGAAGGAUGUUGUUG